CAGGUGAUGGGUGAGGAUGGUGGGACCUCGCCAGGGGAAUAAAGGCAGUGUAUCUCCAUGGCUGGAGGGGGAAUGAAGCCCCACGGAUUGCUGGCAGCUCCCAGGCAUGGAUCUGCCUUUAUUCCCCCGGCAAGGUCCCACCAUCCUCACCCAUUCCCUUUCCUUUGGACACCCUGGCUUCCUCCCAGGCUGUAGUGGAUGGUGUGCUCCAAAGUCUCUCGCAUUUCCCUUUCCUGCAAAUCUUCAGGUCAAGUGGUAAAUUUAACCUUUCAGAAGGUUCAAUAUCUGCAGGCUGAGUGGAAGCAGAGGAGGAGCUUUAUUCUGUGAUACAGCUUUGUAAUGAUAGAUACUCAUAAAAGCCUACCAUGGUUUGGGUUGGAAGGGACCUUAAAUCUCACCCCAUUCCAUGGGCAGGGACACCUCCUGCUAUCCCAGGCUGCUCCAAGCCCUGUCCAGCCUGGCCUGGGACACUUCCAGGGAUCCAGGGACAGCCACAGCUGCUCUGGCAACCUGUGCCAGGGCCUGCCCACCCUCGCAGGGAAGAAUUUCUUCCUGACAUCCAAUUUGAGCUUACUCUCUCCCAGUUUACAACCCUUCCCUCUUGUCCUACCCAUCCUGUCCUAUCCUCCCACAUAGCUUUGUAACCACCAGGGCAGCACCGCUCUCAACACUUUACAGCUGAGGGAGAUGCUGCACACUGGGUGCACUCCCCCUGAAGCCUUCCCCCUUUUCCUGUAGGAAUCCAACUCCGGAAGGUGCAGGAGCAGUGGGAACAAGAGGCCAAGAAAGAGCCCGUGGGCAAUGACGUGGCCACCAUCCUGUCGCGCCGCAUCGCCGUGGAGUACAGCGAGUCCGACGACGACUCGGAGCUGGACGAGAACGAGUGGUCGGACUGAGGGCCCCGGCUGGGCGGGCUCGGGCUCCUGCUCCCCUCCAGGUCAAUGUGGGACUGAGCUGUGGCACAAAGGAGCUGAGCCAGGCCUCAGGGAAAACCUUCUGGAGGUGAGGAUGGAGAAACUCAGGUCCCAGAGGCUCUGCCCUGGCUUUGGGAAGCCAGAGAGAAGCUCUGACCUUGUGUGCAGCCAGGGAGGGGUGGAGGUGCCCACAGGGCCUUUCUGGCACCUUUGUGAUUCUCCCUCAUCCCUGGGUGGGUACAGCCCCAGAGCAUCCCCCAGGGCAGGGCAGCUCCUUUUGGUUUUGGUGUUGAGCCUCAAAUAGAAUAAAGGUAAAAUGUGCUGCA
Molecule: long non-coding RNA, 1240 nt
Filed under: Zonotrichia albicollis (white-throated sparrow)
Lineage: Eukaryota; Metazoa; Chordata; Aves; Passeriformes; Passerellidae
Description: lncRNA (ENSZALG00000007321.1)
Source: RNAcentral